This 7122-nucleotide unclassified non-coding RNA is filed under the name Lytechinus variegatus (green sea urchin). Its description in RNAcentral is "endoplasmic reticulum transmembrane helix translocase-like, transcript variant X1". Lineage: Eukaryota; Metazoa; Echinodermata; Echinoidea; Temnopleuroida; Toxopneustidae. The record is from RNAcentral.
CUUUUUCCAAUAUGGCACCUUCCAUGGAAGAAAAAAUUGAGAGUGUCACCUCGUAUAAUUUGCGGCCCUUAGUCCUCCAUGGAUAUAUUUUCCCAUUUAUAUUUAUAUACAUUGCAUGGCUAUAUCUUUUGGUGGUUGCCUAUGGGGUCAGUGAAUAUUUGGAAGCUGGAUUGAUCGUUUUAGCAGCCAUAGGAUGUGUCCAAAUUUUGGUCUGCUUGUUCUGCCAUUGGUCAAUACACGUGAGGUGUUCGCUCACAUGCAGGAAGGAAUCUAACCCCUUUGAUGCUGAUUGGGUGAAGGUUGUCCCUACAGCCAACAAUGGAUAUCCAGAACUGGUCCAGCUUCACACAGAUAUUCAUCCAGGCACAGGGAAGCGAGAUCUGUGGUUCACAUUCCAGAAGACAAAGUACAUUUAUGAUGCGGAGGAGAAGAAGCGAUUCCAGGCCGUGGAGUUUCCUGUCAGUCACGCCAUCAAGGUUUACCAAUCCUGGAAGGGUUAUCAGGAUGAUGCAGAGGUUGCGGCCACCAAGAAGAAGUUUGGAGACAAUCAGUUGACAAUGGAGCCUCCAGAGUUCAAAGAACUUUUCAAGGAGAGGGCAACAGCACCUUUCUUUGUAUUUCAAGUCUUCUGUGUGGCUUUAUGGUGCCUUGAUGAAUAUUGGUAUUACAGUGUCUUUACUUUGUUCAUGCUGGUGACGUUUGAGGCGACACUGGUUCAUCAACAGCUCCGAAACCUGACAGAGAUUCGGAAGAUGGGCAAUAAACCAUAUAUGAUACAGGUAUAUCGCAACCGUAAGUGGCGCCCCAUCCUCAGCAGUGACCUUGUACCUGGUGACAUCUGCUCCAUCACUAGAUCUCAGAAUGACAAUCCUGUCCCUUGUGACCUUCUGCUUCUGAGGGGUCCAUGUAUUGUGGAUGAGUCUAUGUUAACAGGAGAAUCCGUUCCUCAGAUGAAGGAGCCAGUAGAAGGACUAGAACCAGAUCGCAUCUUGGACCUCCAGUUUGAUAGCAAACUUCAUGUCCUUUCUGGAGGUACUAAGGUGGUCCAGCAUACCCCUCCUAACAAGUCAGCCCCAGGACUAAAAGCUACCGAUAACGGCUGCAUUGCUUACGUAUUGAGAACUGGAUUUAAUACUUCCCAGGGUAAAUUACUGAGCACGAUCCUUUAUGGAGUAAAGCGAGUGACAGCCAACAAUCUAGAAACAUUCCUCUUUAUUCUCUUCCUUCUCAUCUUUGCCAUUGCUGCUGCUUCAUAUGUCUGGAUAGAAGGAACGAAGGAUCCAAGUCGGAAUAAGUACAAGCUCUUCUUGGAGUGCACCCUCAUCCUCACCUCAGUGGUACCCCCAGAGCUCCCUAUUGAGUUAUCCCUGGCUGUCAACUCAUCUCUACUUGCACUCACCAGACUAGGUGUAUACUGCACAGAGCCAUUCCGUAUCCCGUUUGCUGGUAAGGUUGACAUCUGUUGCUUUGAUAAGACAGGAACACUCACCAGUGAUAACCUAGUGGUAGAGGGAGUAGCGGGUUUACCGGGUAAAGACAAGCUUUGCACCAUCACCGAGGUGCCCUUAGAUACUGUUCAGGUGCUUGCUACCUGUCAUUCCCUGGCCCAGCUGGACGAUACCCUGGUAGGGGAUCCUUUGGAGAAGGCCACACUGACCGCUGUGGACUGGACACUCACCAAGGGGGAUGUUGUGAUUCCCCAUCGAAUCCGCAGUCAGCCCCUGAAGAUUGUCCAACGCUUUCACUUCUCUAGCGCCCUCAAGAGGAUGGCAGUGAUUGCUUCUCUCCAGGAACAUGGCUCCGUAGACUGCACCUAUCUGGCUUCCGUCAAGGGUGCCCCAGAAACACUAAGAUCAAUGUUCUCAGUUGUUCCUGAAAACUAUGAUGAAGUUCACUCACAGAUGUCUAGGCAAGGUGCUAGGGUGCUAGCCCUCGGACACAGGAAGCUAGGUCACAUGUCUUCACAACAGCUGCGUGACCUGUCUCGUGAUGAGGUUGAAAAAGACCUGACUUUUGUUGGUUUUGUCAUCAUCUCUUGUCCUCUGAAAUUUGAUUCGAAAGCAGCGAUCAAGGAGAUCCAGCAUGCUUCUCACUAUACCACCAUGAUUACUGGUGAUAACCCUCUGACUGCCUGCCAUGUCGCCAAAGAACUACGCUUCACCAAGAAACCACACACUCUUAUCCUAAAACCACCCACUGAGAACGAAUAUGAUGAAUGGCAUUGGCAGUCCAUCGAUGACACGGUGACGUAUCCCAUGAUACCAUCUGCAGGGGAAGUGCGCCUUCUAUUGGCCAGUGAUCUUUGUCUUACCGGAGAGGCUAUAACCCACCUACAAACCACCAAUAUAACUUUUCUGAACAGAAUUUUACCAAGGGUUAAAGUGUUUGCACGAGUAGCACCCAAACAAAAGGAGUAUGUAAUUACCACACUAAAGAGUCUUGGAUAUACGACCCUCAUGUGUGGAGAUGGUACCAAUGACGUAGGAGCUCUAAAGCAUGCACAUGUUGGUGUUGCACUUCUUUCAAAUGUUCCAGAAAGGUUUUUACGAGAUAGGAAAAAGCCGAAAGAAGAGACAGCAGAGACAGGAGGGGAAAAUAAACAAGUUAAGAAUUCCUCUGGCCCAGAGAGGAUACCAUCUGCCUCUCAUCAUGGAGGGGGCAGGCAUGGGGGUGGAGGAGGACGAGCAGCUCGACAGAGGGCUAUCGCUAAAGGAGAGGACCUUACUAGGUCACAAAAUAAAAAGCUAAAUAACUUAUUGAAAGAAAUGGAGGAGCAGGACCAAGCUCAAGUAGUCAAGUUAGGAGAUGCAAGUAUAGCAUCGCCCUUCACUUCUAAAUUAUCAUCAGUGCAAUGUGUGUGUCACAUCAUUAAACAAGGCCGCUGUACGUUGGUCACCACUCUUCAAAUGUUCAAGAUUCUAGCACUAAAUGCUCUCAUCCUAGCCUACAGUCAAAGUGUUCUAUAUCUAGAUGGCAUCAAAUUCAGCGACGCCCAGGCCACGCUACAAGGCCUCUUAUUGGCUGGUUGUUUCCUCUUUAUAUCAAGGUCAAAGCCAUUGAAGGUAUUAUCAAGGAGUCGUCCUCUACCAAAUAUCUUCAAUGUCUACACCAUCUUAACAGUCAUCUUUCAAUUUGCUGUCCAUUUUAUGAGCCUCAUGUACCUCGUACAGGAAGCAAAAGCGAGGUCACCACCCAGGGAGACUGAAUUUCCUGAUCUUGAGAAAGAGUUUGAACCAAAUCUUGUUAACAGCACAGUAUAUAUCCUCUCCAUGAUGUUACAGAUUAGCACAUUUGCUGUUAAUUACAAGGGUCAUCCUUUCAUGGAGUCGUUGAGAGACAACAAGCCUCUCCUGUACAGUCUUGCAUUCUCUACAGUGUCUGUAUUUGCUCUAAUAUCUGGAGUACUGCCCGAUAUAUCCAGUCAGUUUGAAAUUGUAGAAUUUUCAUCAGAUUUCCGUUUGCUGGUGUUCCAAGUUCUUGUAGGAGACAUGGUUUCUGCAUUCAUCAUUGACAGGGUUCUUCAAUUUAUUCUGGGAUCAGCAAAAUUAAGAGAAGCAAACUAAACCCAUAUUUAAUGAACCAUCAUCAAUCAUCAUGCAUGGGACUACAGUUCAGCAAUUUGGGUAUUUAUGAUGCAUUUAAGCAGUGCAAGAUGUUCUUAUAUGCAGUGAAUGAAUGUUAAAUCCCACAGGUAUUAUUUGUAUUAUUGUAUGUUCGGUAGCAGAGAUCUAUGGAGUGAUUUGGUUGGAUAUUGGACCGCAGUUAGGAAAAGAGAUUAUUAUAAAUGUAGAUUAUUGCUGAACCAAAGUCAAUUCCAUAAAGGUAUGAGAAAUGUGUACUCUUGAGAACAUGUUCAUAAUGACAAGGAUAAUAGCCACUUGGUCUAAUAACAGUUGGUUAAACCCCCAGUUGGUCUCAGACCAUAGGUAAAAAAGAUGGCCAGAAUUCACAAAGAUUGUUUUGAAUCUGGUCUGAAACCAUGGCUUAUGCAGAUUUUAUGAUUUAUAACUAUUCCCCAUUUAAGCCCCUUUCACAAUUAGUGGUGCGACUGCUUACGACCGUUGCGAUUCUGUGCAACAUAUAUUGUGACCAAGUGAUCGCCCCUGUGAAAGGCCCUUUAGUCAAAUGAUGACUGCACACUUUUGUCACUGCACUAAAUUUCGCAAUGAAUUGUGCAUUAACGAGCCCACAAUUUUGAUUAAUGAAUCCAUUUAUCUGUUUGGAUUGAAUUUACAUAAACAGUUGAAUUUAACCAUACCAAUAAGUGAAUUGAGUGCCGUAUGACAAAAGUAUGCAUUUAUCUUUGGACCCAUAUCUCAAUUAUGGAUCAUUAAUGAAUAAAUUCUGUGUAAAUAAACCAUUGUUUAAGACCGUAGACUUCAAAACUAACUCAAUGAAAUCAUGCAAUUUGGUCCACCAUCUUCUUGGCAUAAUUAUUGUUUGGUCCAAUUAUCAAUUGGUUUAUUAAUUUCCACUUGAUAUAUUUCUCUAGAUCAUGUAAUAAAAUUGUUUACAAGCAUUCAAAUUUUAUGCAUACAUGUACUUUUAAUGUUGUUCCAGACUAUCUAAAAAGCACACCAGAAGCUUGCCAGACAUAGCAACAAGUAAUGUAUGCAAACAGGAUUCUAAGUAUUUUCUUGUUUAUUUAUUACUGACAGGUUAAAGGAAUACCUCAUCAUUACUAGGAUCUUUAGGAAAGAAACACCUGUAAAUUUGAAUUGUUAAAGUUAACAGGUUUCUUAGACAUACAUUUUCCUCAAAAAUUGAUUUAUACACACAAUGUCUACUACAUAAAAUUGAAAAAUAGUGAUUUUUUUUCUACCCAACAUUUUUUUUUUCAUCUCUCAAAAUACUGCAUAAAUUGUAUUCAAUGAGGUUGUCACCCCUGCCUUCAUUUCUGUUUUCACCAAUCACAGUUGUUGUUUUUUUUACAUAAUGCAUACAUCUCGUAGAUUAAGAAAUAUAACAUGAAUCGCUUCUAAAGUUAAGAUUGAUUGUAUUAAUAUCAGUUGUUUUUAAGAUGAGUCCCUGAAAAUGGAGCUAAGAAUGACAUUAUGGCUUUAUGUAGGUCAGUUCGUUGGUAUGGUUUAAUGCAUUAAAGAUUGAUUGAUCAUGCAGGUGGAAUUAACAAACGUAAUUAAACAUUUUCUAAUUCAUUUUAAAUCCUUAUUAAAUGCAUGUAUUUUCCUUGCCAGCUAAAGACAAUUUUAAAUGAGAUUAAUGGCAAUUUUUGAAAAUAUAUUAAGGGAAAUAUAUUUUUGUGUCUUGAAAAGUGGUGUUAAAAUUAUGUAUUGUCUUGGUAAAUUAAAUGAAAAAUUUUGAAAUUAAGUUUUGAUGAAGUGGAGUGGGUUUCUUGUAGAAUCAGAAUAUGAAGAGAUGUCUGAUAUAGUCCGUAAGCAUUUUAAAUUUGUGAAACAAAUUAGUUGCCAAAUUUUCCAAGGGUUCUAUACAAUAGUAUUUUUAAGAUUUGUGUUUAAGAGUGAAACUUUACAAUUAGGAAUACUGUUCAUCAAAUAAGUAGAUAGCCAAUCAUUACGUGUAAUGAUUUGAUGUGCAUGCCUUUUCACAGAGCAGGUUUUGCACUGAGUAAAUGUGAGAUGAAGAUAGAUUGAUAAUUGGUGUGGCCUGUUCUGAGAAAAAAAAAUGCAUUAAAAAAUGUUGCCGCAUGUUAUGAUGAUUUUUCAAAAUUCAUUUGUUGGUACAUGUAUUCCCCAAAACAAACUAUUCACUAUUUACUGUAAUAGUGUGUAUAGCUACAUGCUAUCUUUAAAGUAUUCUAUUUUGUCAUCACUCCUCAUGUAAAAAGACAAACCUUGAAAAGAUAAAAUGAAAAUGAUUUUCAAGAAAGUUGGAAUAUCACAACAAUACAAUAUUACCUGAAAUUUGAAUUAUAUCUUUGAGAGGUACAUGUACCUUAUGAUAAGAUACCUGUUCCGGCCAUGAUACAUUGCAUUGUCUGUUUUGGUGCUGUAAUUAUUUGCUUGCUCAAAAACGGAACAGUACAAUUUAUUUCCAGGUAGUAGUGUGAUGCCUGUUUAUUCAAAUUUCUUGCGGUUCACCGCUUCACCAACUUUUCAACCAAUUUUACCAAAGAUUUUGAAAUGAAAUGGAUCAAUACAAGGGCAUAAUAUGUGUGACCCCCUAUCCAAACUGAAUGUGAAUAAAAAAGCAAAAGUUGUUUUCAUGAACACAUAACUGAUAUAUAUGUCCUGAGAGAGUAUUUUCUCCCAAAUAAUUUGAUUCUUAUUUGUAUGUGGUAUAAUGCCUGGAUAAUUGGGAGGUAUUUCUGUCAAAGUAAGGCAUACAGAGUUGCAGUAACCAUGGUAAAAAAAAAGUUCAUAGCCAAAUUUUUAGAAUUUAUUACAAAACUAAAAUUUACAUUGCUUGAUAUCUAGUUUGAAGAACAUGAGGAGACUACAUAUUUCUAAGAACCUAUGAUAAAUUUGAAGCAGGUACAUGUAUAUGAUGUUUACAUGUCUGAAUUGUAUUCUACGGGUUAGUUUCUAUUGUCAAAUUUAACUUUUAUGUUUAUGACAUACUAGUAGUUAAAUUUUCCUCUUUCCUUUAUUGCCUAUUUUAAUUCUUCAUAUUGUGCUAUGAAAUUUAGUCUUUUCUUUCAAAGGUAUAGAUGUAAUUGUUUAUCAUUUGCUCUUGAUCAUAUUGAUAAAAUGCAUUUGAAUGUUUAAAUCUUAUUUAUAUUAAUUCAUUCCACACGCAUGCAUUUAUAGAGUAUUCCUAGAUAUCAUCCUUGGUACGUAGGUUAUUGCUUGUGUGUGAUCAGUAUUAUAAACAUUUGUUGCCAAUUUGCAUACCACUCACUUUAAGCCUAAUUCUUGAUAAAAAUUCACACUGCAUAAAUUAUUGUUAGAUUUUAGUUAACAUUAUCAUGUUGGCAAUAUGCUAGAUUCUUAUAUAGAAAUGUUAGGAAUAUGAUAUAUACUUGAAACACUUUGCCAACUGAAAUAAUGUGAGAUAUGAAUAUUGAACAAUUCAACUUACCAGGUUACGGAGAGAGAUAACCUAUAUAGUGGAGAUAAACACUGUAACGUUUAUCAAAUUGUAUUGUUCUUAUUCUCACAGAUAAAUUUCUUUGUGCAGAUUAAUUAAAUGUUGCUAAAGCAA